This 444-nucleotide ribosomal RNA is filed under the name uncultured bacterium. RNAcentral's name for it is "partial 16S ribosomal RNA". It matches the Rfam family "Bacterial small subunit ribosomal RNA", at positions 338 to 795 of the family's 1533-position model. The record is from RNAcentral.
CCUACGGGUGACAGCAGUGGGGAAUAUUGGGCAAUGGGCGCAAGCCUGACCCAGCAACGCCGCGUGAAGGAAGAAGGCUUUCGGGUUGUAAACUUCUUUUAUCAGGGACGAAGCAAGUGACGGUACCUGAUGAAUAAGCCACGGCUAACUACGUGCCAGCAGCCGCGGUAAUACGUAGGUGGCAAGCGUUAUCCGGAUUUACUGGGUGUAAAGGGAGCGUAGGUGGCAUGGUAAGCCAGAGGGGAAAACCCAGGGCUCAACUCUGUGGAUGGCUUUUGAAACUAGCAAGCUAGAGUGCUGGAGGAGUAGGCGGAAGUCCUAGUGUAGCGGUGAAAUGCGUAGAUAUUAGGAGGAACACCGGUGGCGAAGGCAGCUUACUGGACAGAAACUGACACUGAGGCUCGAAAGCGUGGGGAGCAAACAGGAUUAGAUACCCGGGUAGUC